This is a long non-coding RNA of Lolium rigidum, 343 nucleotides long. RefSeq lists it as uncharacterized. The record is from RefSeq and is a predicted model, not a curated record. The transcript has 3 exons. Lineage: Eukaryota; Viridiplantae; Streptophyta; Magnoliopsida; Poales; Poaceae.
CAUGUACUGCAUAUCAACCAGGGAGCACCGCGGCAUGGCGGCUGGACCAUGACGGAGCCAAUGUGGCCGCCAACUAGCCCUGGCCCUGGGACCUUGAUGGACCCCGGCGUCCUCGGGGCCUGGACCAUCUGCAAGCGCCACGAGUUCAACCUGAAACCAGAUUGAGCAGGAGCAGCUCGUCGGCUGGUGGCGACUGGCGACCACAAAUGGCGCUCAAGCUAGUGUUGACGCCACACCACACGCCCUUACUGCUCAGGCCUCUCCGCCGCCCGGACUGAAAGCCGGGAGGCAUGCAAAUUACCCUUGCCCCACAAUGUAGCUGGCCAAUAAGCUGCGGCGCUCU